This 463-nucleotide ribosomal RNA is filed under the name uncultured Klebsiella sp. Its description in RNAcentral is "bacterial SSU rRNA". It matches the Rfam family "Bacterial small subunit ribosomal RNA", at positions 338 to 795 of the family's 1533-position model. The record is from RNAcentral. Lineage: Bacteria; Pseudomonadati; Pseudomonadota; Gammaproteobacteria; Enterobacterales; Enterobacteriaceae.
CCUACGGGUCUGCAGUGGGGAAUAUUGCACAAUAGGCGCAAGCCUGAUGCAGCCAUGCCGCGUGUGUGAAGAAGGCCUUCGGGUUGUAAAGCACUUUCAGCGGGGAGGAAGGCGGUGAGGUUAAUAACCUCAUCGAUUGACGUUACCCGCAGAAGAAGCACCGGCUAACUCCGUGCCAGCAGCCGCGGUAAUACGGAGGGUGCAAGCGUUAAUCGGAAUUACUGGGCGUAAAGCGCACGCAGGCGGCCUGUCAAGUCGGAUGUGAAAUCCCCGGGCUCAACCUGGGAACUGCAUUCGAAACUGGCAGGCUAGAGUCUUGUAGAGGGGGGUAGAAUUCCAGGUGUAGCGGUGAAAUGCGUAGAGAUCUGGAGGAAUACCGGUGGCGAAGGCGGCCCCCUGGACAAAGACUGACGCUCAGGUGCGAAAGCGUGGGGAGCAAACAGGAUUAGAUACCCGUGUAGUC